GACAUAGGUUGCGAGCGUUAUUCGGAAUUGCUAGGCGUAAAGCGAGUGUAGGCGGACCUUUAAGUCUGACGUUAAAUCUCCUGGCUUAACUAGGAGCUGUCGUCGGAUACUGAAGGCCUCGAAUGGGGUAGGGGGCAGCGGAAUUCCCGGUGUAGCGGUGAAAUGCGUAGAUAUCGGGAGGAACCCCUAUGGCGAAAGCAGCUGCCUGGGCCUCUAUUGACGCUCAGCCUCGAAAGCUGGGGGUGCAAUCAGU
Molecule: ribosomal RNA, 253 nt
Filed under: uncultured bacterium
Lineage: Bacteria
Description: partial 16S ribosomal RNA
Rfam family: Bacterial small subunit ribosomal RNA
Source: RNAcentral